This 479-nucleotide long non-coding RNA is filed under the name Ananas comosus (pineapple). Its description in RNAcentral is "long non-coding RNA (ACOM_LNC038782)". Lineage: Eukaryota; Viridiplantae; Streptophyta; Magnoliopsida; Poales; Bromeliaceae. The record is from RNAcentral.
GAUUGUCUAAGCAAUAAAUCAUCAUCAAUCUUGGUAUUCUUGCUCCGGACGGAGUGUGCUCGUGGAUUCGAGUGGGCGUUGUGGAUUCGGCGUGAUCAAGGCUUCGUGGAUUCGAAGUGUGGACGUUUCGUGGAUUCGGGACGUGGCGUUCGUGGAUUCGGACGUGGGGCGUGGACAACCCAUUGGUGUGCGCGAGAUCCGGAGAAGAUAAAAGAGAGGUUUGAGUCCGUGGAUUCGGUAAAUCACCUUGUAAUCUUUUAUUCUUAGUGGAUUGUUAUCGCGUGUUGGUCCUGUGGUUUUUUACUCAUAGUUGGAGUUUUCCACGUAAAUCUCGGUGUGAUUUUUAUUUUCCGCAUUUAUUUUUAUCGUAUUGAGAUUUGUGGUUUUUGGCUAUUACACCUAUUCACCCCCCCUCUAGGCGUUAGAUACAAUCUAGAUAGAUCCUUGGGCUCCUCAAAACUUUCAAUUGGUAUCAGAAC